This 2178-nucleotide ribosomal RNA is filed under the name Staphylococcus aureus M1521. Its description in RNAcentral is "bacterial LSU rRNA". It matches the Rfam family "Bacterial large subunit ribosomal RNA", at positions 183 to 2361 of the family's 2925-position model. Lineage: Bacteria; Bacillati; Bacillota; Bacilli; Caryophanales; Staphylococcaceae. The record is from RNAcentral.
ACCCGGAGAACUGAAACAUCUUAGUACCCGGAGGAAGAGAAAGAAAAUUCGAUUCCCUUAGUAGCGGCGAGCGAAACGGGAAGAGCCCAAACCAAAAAGCUUGCUUGUUGGGGUUGUAGGACACUCUAUACGGAGUUACAAAGGACGACAUUAGACGAAUCAUCUGGAAAGAUGAAUCAAAGAAGGUAAUAAUCCUGUAGUCGAAAAUGUUGUCUCUCUUGAGUGGAUCCUGAGUACGACGGAGCACGUGAAAUUCCGUCGGAAUCUGGGAGGACCAUCUCCUAAGGCUAAAUACUCUCUAGUGACCGAUAGUGAACCAGUACCGUGAGGGAAAGGUGAAAAGCACCCCGGAAGGAGAGUGAAAUAGAACCUGAAACCGUGUGCUUACAAGUAGUCAGAGCCCGUUAAUGGGUGAUGGCGUGCCUUUUGUAGAAUGAACCGGCGAGUUACGAUUUGAUGCAAGGUUAAGCAGUAAAUGUGGAGCCGUAGCGAAAGCGAGUCUGAAUAGGGCGUUUAGUAUUUGGUCGUAGACCCGAAACCAGGUGAUCUACCCUUGGUCAGGUUGAAGUUCAGGUAACACUGAAUGGAGGACCGAACCGACUUACGUUGAAAAGUGAGCGGAUGAACUGAGGGUAGCGGAGAAAUUCCAAUCGAACCUGGAGAUAGCUGGUUCUCUCCGAAAUAGCUUUAGGGCUAGCCUCAAGUGAUGAUUAUUGGAGGUAGAGCACUGUUUGGACGAGGGGCCCCUCUCGGGUUACCGAAUUCAGACAAACUCCGAAUGCCAAUUAAUUUAACUUGGGAGUCAGAACAUGGGUGAUAAGGUCCGUGUUCGAAAGGGAAACAGCCCAGACCACCAGCUAAGGUCCCAAAAUAUAUGUUAAGUGGAAAAGGAUGUGGCGUUGCCCAGACAACUAGGAUGUUGGCUUAGAAGCAGCCAUCAUUUAAAGAGUGCGUAAUAGCUCACUAGUCGAGUGACACUGCGCCGAAAAUGUACCGGGGCUAAACAUAUUACCGAAGCUGUGGAUUGUCCUUUGGACAAUGGUAGGAGAGCGUUCUAAGGGCGUUGAAGCAUGAUCGUAAGGACAUGUGGAGCGCUUAGAAGUGAGAAUGCCGGUGUGAGUAGCGAAAGACGGGUGAGAAUCCCGUCCACCGAUUGACUAAGGUUUCCAGAGGAAGGCUCGUCCGCUCUGGGUUAGUCGGGUCCUAAGCUGAGGCCGACAGGCGUAGGCGAUGGAUAACAGGUUGAUAUUCCUGUACCACCUAUAAUCGUUUUAAUCGAUGGGGGGACGCAGUAGGAUAGGCGAAGCGUGCGAUUGGAUUGCACGUCUAAGCAGUAAGGCUGAGUAUUAGGCAAAUCCGGUACUCGUUAAGGCUGAGCUGUGAUGGGGAGAAGACAUUGAGUCUUCGAGUCGUUGAUUUCACACUGCCGAGAAAAGCCUCUAGAUAGAAAAUAGGUGCCCGUACCGCAAACCGACACAGGUAGUCAAGAUGAGAAUUCUAAGGUGAGCGAGCGAACUCUCGUUAAGGAACUCGGCAAAAUGACCCCGUAACUUCGGGAGAAGGGGUGCUCUUUAGGGUUAACGCCCAGAAGAGCCGCAGUGAAUAGGCCCAAGCGACUGUUUAUCAAAAACACAGGUCUCUGCUAAACCGUAAGGUGAUGUAUAGGGGCUGACGCCUGCCCGGUGCUGGAAGGUUAAGAGGAGUGGUUAGCUUCUGCGAAGCUACGAAUCGAAGCCCCAGUAAACGGCGGCCGUAACUAUAACGGUCCUAAGGUAGCGAAAUUCCUUGUCGGGUAAGUUCCGACCCGCACGAAAGGCGUAACGAUUUGGGCACUGUCUCAACGAGAGACUCGGUGAAAUCAUAGUACCUGUGAAGAUGCAGGUUACCCGCGACAGGACGGAAAGACCCCGUGGAGCUUUACUGUAGCCUGAUAUUGAAAUUCGGCACAGCUUGUACAGGAUAGGUAGGAGCCUUUGAAACGUGAGCGCUAGCUUACGUGGAGGCGCUGGUGGGAUACUACCCUAGCUGUGUUGGCUUUCUAACCCGCACCACUUAUCGUGGUGGGAGACAGUGUCAGGCGGGCAGUUUGACUGGGGCGGUCGCCUCCUAAAAGGUAACGGAGGCGCUCAAAGGUUCCCUCAGAAUGGUUGGAAAUCAUUCAUAGAGUGUAAAGGCAUA